AGCAAUAAAGAGAAAGUCCAGGAGCGACACGCCCCUGCGGCAAUCAAAAAUACAUCGCCGUUCAGUGUUUCCGUUCGCUCAGCCGAAACGUGAGAUCGAUCCUGUCAUAGCUAGUCAAACCAAGUUCGUGUACGUAUGUUCCUAGACGUGUGUACGUGCACUGUUCCUGAAGAUCAAUCAGGCUGCCUGCUUGCUAGCUUUGAAGCUAGCUUUGCACGUAGGCGUGAGCGUCUCUGGGUAAUUUGAUCUAGCGGUGUUCAAAAGCCAACAGCGGCGGCAAGCAAUCCCAUCCGCGGAAGGCCAUUGCUACAGAUGGAUCCAAAUAAAUUUACCUGGCAUGUUUUCCUGAUUUCCUACUGAUGCUCUUAUGUCAUAAGGCGCUGGAGCAUAUCAUUGAUUUCCUUUGUUCGGCCAUAUGAAUUCUUAUGAUGAGAUUGGACUCUUUAUAGACAGGAAUCACUAACAAACAUAGUUGAAUGAAAACGUAUGUGCUACUAUAUUUUUUAAUGGAUUAUGCCCGAUGGGGCUAGCGCAAAGAUGGAUGUCUUAUUAUGUACUUAGAAUCAACAUAUUGCUAUAUCAUGAUUGGCCUUUAUGCCCAGGAAAUAUUAAGUCAGCCUAAAUUGAUCUUAGGAUGUAGUAUAUAUGGUUUACGAUCCAAGAACUGGUAUUUUUCAGUCAAUUUU
Triticum aestivum (bread wheat) is the source of this 686-nucleotide long non-coding RNA. RefSeq lists it as uncharacterized. The transcript is spliced from 2 exons. Lineage: Eukaryota; Viridiplantae; Streptophyta; Magnoliopsida; Poales; Poaceae. The record is from RefSeq and is a predicted model, not a curated record.